Molecule: ribosomal RNA, 394 nt
Filed under: uncultured bacterium
Lineage: Bacteria
Description: bacterial SSU rRNA
Rfam family: Bacterial small subunit ribosomal RNA
Source: RNAcentral
AUUGAACGCUGGCGGCAGGCCUAACACAUGCAAGUCGAACGGUAACAGGAAGCAGCUUGCUGCUUUGCUGACGAGUGGCGGACGGGUGAGUAAUGUCUGGGAAACUGCCUGAUGGAGGGGGAUAACUACUGGAAACGGUAGCUAAUACCGCAUAACGUCGCAAGACCAAAGAGGGGGACCUUCGGGCCUCUUGCCAUCGGAUGUGCCCAGAUGGGAUUAGCUAGUAGGUGGGGUAACGGCUCACCUAGGCGACGAUCCCUAGCUGGUCUGAGAGGAUGACCAGCCACACUGGAACUGAGACACGGUCCAGACUCCUACGGGAGGCAGCAGUGGGGAAUAUUGCACAAUGGGCGCAAGCCUGAUGCAGCCAUGCCGCGUGUAUGAAGAAGGCCUU